RNAcentral lists this non-coding RNA (26 nucleotides) under Rattus norvegicus (Norway rat). Lineage: Eukaryota; Metazoa; Chordata; Mammalia; Rodentia; Muridae. The record is from RNAcentral.
UUCAUAACAUGGAAGCCACGUGAACC